This is a long non-coding RNA of Haliotis rubra (blacklip abalone), 510 nucleotides long. RefSeq lists it as uncharacterized. The transcript has 4 exons. Lineage: Eukaryota; Metazoa; Mollusca; Gastropoda; Lepetellida; Haliotidae. The record is from RefSeq and is a predicted model, not a curated record.
UCAUAUAGCAGGGCUUUGUUGCAUGGGGUGUUAAACAGCAAGUACAUAUUGCUGAUGUUUUUCAGUGAGGAACAACUUCAAAGGCAUGAAGAGUUUGUGUCCAGCUUCCCAAGACCAGACCGAAGAGUCAACAUUGCUGAGGGGUAUCUGUCUCAUGCUAGUCAUCAAAAGAUGCUGCUUUACCUGACUUCAACUUUAACAUCAACAAGGCUGAAAGAUACACAGAGGAUAUACUCAGGGCUGUUACGACUCUUCAAGUGCAAAGUGGACAAGAGGCUUGAAAUUUGACAUGAAAGCACAUGAUAGCUGCCACAGAUUACAUAAUGUAUGUAGGGGUGAAGGAAGCAAUCAUAUUCAUUCUGAUGGAUGUGAUGAACAUGACAUAUGAAGAAGUAAACCUGGAGUGCAGGUCCACUGAAUUUGAUGCCAGCUAAGUUCCAGGAAGAGGAGUACACAUCACUGUUGAUGAUGAGUGACAGAUAACUUGAUGGACUAUAUAAUGUAGGGGAC